RNAcentral lists this transfer RNA (73 nucleotides) under Neotoma lepida (desert woodrat). It matches the Rfam family "tRNA". From Rfam's summary of the family: Transfer RNA (tRNA) molecules are approximately 80 nucleotides in length. Their secondary structure includes four short double-helical elements and three loops (D, anti-codon, and T loops). The record is from Rfam by way of RNAcentral. Lineage: Eukaryota; Metazoa; Chordata; Mammalia; Rodentia; Cricetidae.
UAGGUUGUAGUUCAGUUGGGAGAAUGCUUGCCUAACAUUCAAGAAAACCUGGGUUUGAUNCCCAGUAUCGCAU